This 98-nucleotide ribosomal RNA is filed under the name uncultured bacterium. RNAcentral describes it as "partial 16S ribosomal RNA". It matches the Rfam family "Bacterial small subunit ribosomal RNA", at positions 395 to 508 of the family's 1533-position model. The record is from RNAcentral.
CGCCGCGUGGAGGAUGAAGUCCCUUGGGAUGUAAACUCCUUUCGAUCGGGACGAUAAUGUUACGGUACCGGAAGAAGAAGCACCGGCUAACUCUGUGC